GACGAACGCUGGCGGCGUGCUUAACACAUGCAAGUCGUACGGUAAGGCCCUUUCGGGGGUACACGAGUGGCGAACGGGUGAGUAACACGUGAGUAACCUGCCCACAACUUUGGGAUAACGCUAGGAAACUGGUGCUAAUACUGGAUAUGUUCUCCUGCUGCAUGGUGGGGGUUGGAAAGCUCCGGCGGUUGUGGAUGGACUCGCGGCCUAUCAGCUUGUUGGUGGGGUAGUGGCCUACCAAGGCGGCGACGGGUAGCCGGCCUGAGAGGGUGACCGGCCACAUUGGGACUGAGAUACGGCCCAGACUCCUACGGGAGGCAGCAGUGGGGAAUAUUGCACAAUGGGCGCAAGCCUGAUGCAGCAACGCCGCGGGCGGGAUGACGGCCUUCGGGUUGGAAACCGCUUUCAGCAGGGACGAAGCUUUUUGUGACGGUACCUGCAGAAGAAGCACCGGCUAACUACGUG
RNAcentral lists this ribosomal RNA (465 nucleotides) under uncultured bacterium. Its description in RNAcentral is "partial 16S ribosomal RNA". It matches the Rfam family "Bacterial small subunit ribosomal RNA", at positions 28 to 507 of the family's 1533-position model. The record is from RNAcentral.